AGUGAACGCUGGCGGUAGGCUUAACACAUGCAAGUCGAACGGCAGCACAGUAAUAGCUUGCUCUUACGGGUGGCGAGUGGCGGACGGGUGAGGAAUACAUCGGAAUCUACUUUUUCGGGGGGGUUAACGUAGGUAAACUUACGCUAAUACCGCAGACGACCUACGGUUGAAAGCAGUGGAUCUUCUGACCGUUCGCGAUUGAAUGAGCCGAUGUUGGAUUAGCUAGUUGGCGGGGUGAAGGCCCACCAAGGCGACGAUCCGUAGCUGGUCUGAGAGGAUGGUAAGCCACCCUGGAACUGAGACGCGGUCCAGACUACUACGGGAGGCAGCAGUGGGGCAUGUUAGACAAUGGGCGGGAGCAUGAUCCAGCCAUACCGAGUGGGUGAAGACAGCCUUGGGGUUGUAAAGCCCUUUUGUUGGGAAAGAACAGCAGCAGGUUGAUACCCCGCUGUUCUGACGGUAACGAAUGAAUAAGCACCGGCUAACUUCGUG
This 492-nucleotide ribosomal RNA is filed under the name uncultured bacterium. RNAcentral describes it as "partial 16S ribosomal RNA". It matches the Rfam family "Bacterial small subunit ribosomal RNA", at positions 29 to 507 of the family's 1533-position model. The record is from RNAcentral.